This 444-nucleotide ribosomal RNA is filed under the name Leptotrichia shahii. Its description in RNAcentral is "bacterial SSU rRNA". It matches the Rfam family "Bacterial small subunit ribosomal RNA", at positions 28 to 489 of the family's 1533-position model. The record is from RNAcentral. Lineage: Bacteria; Fusobacteriati; Fusobacteriota; Fusobacteriia; Fusobacteriales; Leptotrichiaceae.
GAUGAACGCUGACAGAAUGCUUAACACAUGCAAGUCUUUGGCGAAGCUGCGCUUGCGCAGACGAGCCAAGGCGGACGGGUGAGUAACGCGUAAGGAACUUGCCCUGCAGACAGGGAUAACAGACGGAAACGACUGACAAGACCUGAUACAGUUGCCGGCACGAAUGUGCCUGGCGAUGAAAGGAGACGCUGCAGGAGAGCCUUGCGUCCUAUUAGCUUGUUGGCGGGGUAAUGGCCCACCAAGGCGAUGAUAGGUAGCCGGCCUGAGAGGGUGGACGGCCACAAGGGGACUGAGAUACGGCCCUUACUCCUACGGGAGGCAGCAGGGGGAAUAUUGGACAAUGGGGGCAACCCUGAUCCAGCAAUUCUGUGUGCACGAAGAAGGUUUUCGAAUUGUAAAGUGCUUUCAGCAGGGAAGAAGAAAGUGACGGUACCUGCAGAAGAA